GGUAGGUGGCAAGCGUUGUCCGGAAUUAUCGGGCGUAAAGCGCGCGCAGGCGGUCCUUUAAGUCUGAUGUGAAAGCCCACGGCUCAACCGUGGAGGGUCAUUGGAAACUGGGGGACUUGAGUACAGAAGAGGAAAGCGGAAUUCCACGUGUAGCGGUGAAAUGCGUAGAGAUGUGGAGGAACACCAGUGGCGAAGGCGGCUUUCUGGUCUGUAACUGACGCUGAGGCGCGAAAGCGUGGGGAGCAAACAGGAUUAGAUACCCUGGUAGUCCACGCCGUAAACGAUGAGUGCUAAGUGUUAGGGGGUUUCCGCCCCCCUUAGUGCUGCAGCUAACGCAUUAAGCACUCCGCCUGGGAGUACGGCCGCAAGGCUG
Molecule: ribosomal RNA, 373 nt
Filed under: uncultured organism
Description: partial 16S ribosomal RNA
Rfam family: Bacterial small subunit ribosomal RNA
Source: RNAcentral